AUCAGUGUGGCAUAGUGGCUUGAGUGUUGGAUUAUGACUCUGGAGACCAGGGUUCAAUUCCCAACUUAGCUA
RNAcentral lists this transfer RNA (72 nucleotides) under Phrynosoma platyrhinos (Desert horned lizard). Its description in RNAcentral is "tRNA-OTHER". Lineage: Eukaryota; Metazoa; Chordata; Lepidosauria; Squamata; Phrynosomatidae. The record is from RNAcentral.